This 540-nucleotide ribosomal RNA is filed under the name uncultured bacterium. Its description in RNAcentral is "partial 16S ribosomal RNA". It matches the Rfam family "Bacterial small subunit ribosomal RNA", at positions 355 to 886 of the family's 1533-position model. The record is from RNAcentral.
UAGGGAAUCUUCCACAAUGGGCGCAAGUCUGAUGGAGCAACGCCGCGCGAGUGAAGAAGGUUUUCGGACCGUAAAGCUCUGUUGUUGGUGAAGAAGGAUAGAGGUAGUAACUGGCCUUUAUUUGACGGUAAUCAACCAGAAAGUCACGGCUAACUACGUGCCAGCAGCCGCGGUAAUACGUAGGUGGCAAGCGUUGUCCGGAUUUAUUGGGCGUAAAGCGAGCGCAGGCGGAAGAAUAAGUCUGAUGUGAAAGCCCUCGGCUUAACCGAGGAAUUGCAUCGGAAACUGUUUUCUUGAGUGCAGAAGAGGAGAGUAGAACUCCAUGUGUAGCGGUGGAAUGCGUAGAUAUAUGGAAGAAUACCAGUGGCGAAGGCGGCUCUCUGGUCUGCAACUGACGCUGAGGCUCGAAAGCAUGGGUAGCGAACAGGAUUAGAUACCCUGGUAGUCCAUGCCGUAAACGAUGAGUGCUAAGUGUUGGGAGGCUUCCGCCUCUCAGUGCUGCAGCUAACGCAUUAAGCACUCCGCCUGGGGGAGUACGAC